Non-coding RNA from Picea glauca (white spruce), 77 nucleotides. The record is from Rfam. NCBI's taxonomy places the organism in Eukaryota, Viridiplantae, Streptophyta, Pinopsida, Pinales, Pinaceae.
AGAAGCCGUAUGAGGUGCAAAUCUCAUGUAUGGUUUUGUAGAGUGACAGUGAAGACAACUUAUCUGUCAACUUUUCC